RNAcentral lists this transfer RNA (80 nucleotides) under Omphalotus olearius VT 653.13. RNAcentral's name for it is "tRNA-Leu (AAG) (tRNA-Leu-AAG-2-1)". It matches the Rfam family "tRNA". Rfam says of the family: Transfer RNA (tRNA) molecules are approximately 80 nucleotides in length. Their secondary structure includes four short double-helical elements and three loops (D, anti-codon, and T loops). Further hydrogen bonds mediate the characteristic L-shaped molecular structure. tRNAs have two regions of fundamental functional importance: the anti-codon, which is responsible for specific mRNA codon recognition, and the 3' end, to which the tRNAs corresponding amino acid is attached (by aminoacyl-tRNA synthetases). tRNAs cope with the degeneracy of the genetic code in two manners: having more than one tRNA (with a specific anti-codon) for a particular amino acid; and 'wobble' base-pairing, i.e. permitting non-standard base-pairing at the 3rd anti-codon position. The record is from RNAcentral. Lineage: Eukaryota; Fungi; Basidiomycota; Agaricomycetes; Agaricales; Omphalotaceae.
GGAGAGAUGGCCGAGCGGUCUAAGGCGCCAGACUAAGGAUCUGGUCUUUCGGGGCGUGGGUUCGAAUCCCACUCUCUUCA